RNAcentral lists this transfer RNA (87 nucleotides) under Bradyrhizobium sp. LTSP885. RNAcentral's name for it is "tRNA-Arg". It matches the Rfam family "tRNA". From Rfam's summary of the family: Transfer RNA (tRNA) molecules are approximately 80 nucleotides in length. Lineage: Bacteria; Pseudomonadati; Pseudomonadota; Alphaproteobacteria; Hyphomicrobiales; Nitrobacteraceae. The record is from RNAcentral.
GCGCUCGUAGCUCAGCUGGAUUCAGCUGGAUAGAGCAUCGGAUUUCGAUUCCGAGGGUUGGGAGUUCGAAUUUCUCCGAGCGCGCCA